CCGACUGUAGUCGUGAUGGAGGCGGGCGACUUUCUGGACUCGCUCAUUUACGGAGCAUGCGUGAUCUUCACCCUUGGCAUGUUCUCCGCCGGCCUCUCGGACCUCAGGCACAUGCGAAUGACCCGGAGUGUGGACAACGUCCAGUUCCUGCCCUUUCUUACCACGGAAGUCAAGUGAGGGGGCGACGGCUGCGGUAGUGGGAAAGGCUACCAGAGGGAGGUGGGGGCGGGGCAGGAGGAGCAAGAGUGAAAGAGGCUUGGCCGGGCGCGGUGGCUCACGCCUGUAAUCCCUGCACUUUGGGAGGCCGAGACGGGCGGAUCACGAGAUCAGGAGAUCCAGACCAUCCUGGCUAACACGGUGAAACCCCGUCUCUACUAAAAAUACAAAAAAUUAGCCGGGCGUGGUGCCGGGCGCCUGUAGUCCCAGCUACUCGGGAGGCUGAGGCAGGAGAAUGGCGUGAACCCAGGAGGCGGAGCUUGCAGUGAGCCGAGAUCGCGCCACCGCACUCCAGCCUGGGCGACAGAGCGAGACUACGUCUCAAAAAAAAAAAAAAGAGUGAAAGACCCUUUGGGUCCUCCUCUCUCACUGAACCCUUUAAGCCAUGUCCAUCCCCUCCACCCUGCAGCAACCUGGGCUGGCUGAGUUAUGGGGCUUUGAAGGGAGACGGGAUCCUCAUCGUCGUCAACACAGUGGGUGCUGCGCUUCAGACCCUGUAUAUCUUGGCAUAUCUGCAUUACUGCCCUCGGAAGGUAGAGGCCCUCCCUUGGACCCACCCAUCUGCUGCACGCCCUGCCUUGGUGGCAGGGCAAACACUAUUUCCUAGAAGACUGUAACAGCUGGCACUGCCACCCUUUCCAGGAAGGCCUCUCCAGCCUUGCAGGUCCCCUUCCUCUAUGAAGCCAGCCUUCUGAGAUGAACACAUUGCCCCC
This 929-nucleotide small RNA is filed under the name Pongo abelii (Sumatran orangutan). Its description in RNAcentral is "retained intron". Lineage: Eukaryota; Metazoa; Chordata; Mammalia; Primates; Hominidae. The record is from RNAcentral.